Oreochromis aureus is the source of this 1057-nucleotide long non-coding RNA. The record is from Ensembl. Lineage: Eukaryota; Metazoa; Chordata; Actinopteri; Cichliformes; Cichlidae.
UGGACUUUCCUAUGAAACAUCAGUGCAGGAGUCUCUCAGUACAUCUGUUUACAGUGAGGACAAAGAAGCAGCACAAACACAGAAAACAUACAUGACUGUAAUCAGAGUAUGGGAGAGUAACUGAGUACACUUCCUGUUUGUGAUUGAGGUGAUUUUCUUCUUUAUAUCAUGUCAGAUAAAGUCUGACAUCUUUUGGUUCUUCAGCUGAUGAAACACAUUGAAUUCAUUUAAUUUCAUGUGUUUUCACAGAUGAAACCAGCCAACAGUGAAUCAAAUGUUUUACACUAACGUGACAUGACGUUCAUCUAACCAGCUGAACCAGUUAGUGGUUACAGUAACGGGUUAAUCCACUAAUGCUCACAGGCUUCACUCAGCCUGUCAAAUUACCUAAAAACGCUGAAAGACAUCAUUUAAAUACUUACUGCUGUUCUGAAGAAUCUCUGAAACACUCAAACACUCUUCUGAUCAUCAGAGUGGAAAAAAUAAAAUGAUCUACUGACAGAUAAAAAACUGUGAGGUCAGUGUGUCCCAUCGGUUUUUCAGUAGGUGAAAAGGAAGCUACUGAAGUUUUGUUACAAAGAAGUAAAAAGUUACUCAGAUGUAAAUAUUUGACAAAUAAAAAAAAAUCAAAUCAUAAAAAAUGUAAAAGUUUAAAAUCCCAAAGUAAAGGUAUGUCUGUGUCAAACAGCUGCAGACUAAACUAACCUGUAUUUUCUGUCAGCUGUUUUAUAUCAGACAUCUGUGACCUGCGUCAACAUUUUCACGCCCACCUUUGUUUGUCCUCUGUUUGAGCAGCUGCAAGUCCAGACAUGUGACAAACAAAUACCUCAAAUUCAAAGGAAAAGAAAGAAGUAUAAGAAUGAGAACCGUUUUCCACUAACACAGGUAGAUAUAAAGAGAAAUUCCCACUCCACACUGUCUGUGAAAUUAUAGAUACUUGGUAAAAUUAUUACAAGCUCAUGAACACUUACUGUUGAUCUGAAGGAUCUCUGAAACCCUCAAACACUCUUCUGAUCAUCAGGAUGGAAAAAUUAUCCACUGACAAAGUCCAUACACC